This 462-nucleotide ribosomal RNA is filed under the name uncultured Clostridium sp. RNAcentral's name for it is "bacterial SSU rRNA". It matches the Rfam family "Bacterial small subunit ribosomal RNA", at positions 28 to 505 of the family's 1533-position model. The record is from RNAcentral. Lineage: Bacteria; Bacillati; Bacillota; Clostridia; Eubacteriales; Clostridiaceae.
GACGAACGCUGGCGGCGUGCCUAACACAUGCAAGUCGAGCGAUGAAGCUUCCUUCGGGAAGUGGAUUAGCGGCGGACGGGUGAGUAACACGUGGGUAACCUGCCUCAUAGUGGGGGAUAGCCUUUCGAAAGGAAGAUUAAUACCGCAUAAUAUUACGUUAUCGCAUGGUAAUGUAAUUAAAGGAGCAAUUCGCUAUGAGAUGGACCCGCGUCGCAUUAGCUAGUUGGUGAGGUAAUGGCUCACCAAGGCGACGAUGCGUAGCCGACCUGAGAGGGUGAUCGGCCACAUUGGGACUGAGACACGGCCCAGACUCCUACGGGAGGCAGCAGUGGGGAAUAUUGCACAAUGGGCGAAAGCCUGAUGCAGCAACGCCGCGUGAGUGAUGACGGCCUUCGGGUUGUAAAACUCUGUCUUCAGGGACGAUAAUGACGGUACCUGAGGAGGAAGCCACGGCUAACUACG